Molecule: long non-coding RNA, 259 nt
Filed under: Fragaria vesca (wild strawberry)
Lineage: Eukaryota; Viridiplantae; Streptophyta; Magnoliopsida; Rosales; Rosaceae
Description: long non-coding RNA (FVES_LNC003022)
Source: RNAcentral
GACCUUAAUAAAGUGAAAGAGCCUGAUGCUGAAAACAACGAUGCAGGUGAAGCAAAGGAUGACAAAGACAGUGAUGAUGACGAUGAGGACGAGGACAAUGAUGAAGAUGAUGGUAAUGACUCGGAAGAAGAUAGUGAUGAUGAUGAAGAGGAUUCUGAUGAUGAGCUUGAGGCUGCUGGUUACGGAGAAAGUGAUGACGAUGAAGACGAAGACGAUGAAGAUGACGACAGUGAUGACGACGAGGACGACGACAGUGAUG